AAAGGUGGCUAUAGCAUCGGGGAUCCACCUCUAACCAUUCCGAACAGAGCAGUUAAGCCCGAUCACGCACUAUGCAAAUGGGAGAGUAGGUAGCCGCCACUU
This 102-nucleotide ribosomal RNA is filed under the name Porphyromonas canoris. Lineage: Bacteria; Pseudomonadati; Bacteroidota; Bacteroidia; Bacteroidales; Porphyromonadaceae. The record is from RNAcentral.